GAGACAGCAGUCGCCGCGGGAAUACGAAGGGGGCUAGCGUUGCUCGGAAUGACUGGGCGUAAAGGGCGCGUAGGCGGCGGCCAAAGUCAGGCGUGAAAUUCCUGGGCUCAACCUGGGGGCUGCGCUUGAUACUUGGUUGCUUGAGUGGGGAAGAGGGUCGUGGAAUUCCCAGUGUAGAGGUGAAAUUCGUAGAUAUUGGGAAGAACACCGGUGGCGAAGGCGGCGACCUGGUCCUUGACUGACGCUGAGGCGCGAAAGCGUGGGGAGCAAACAGGAUUAGAUACCCCCGUAGUCCCUGUCUCUUAUAC
This 308-nucleotide ribosomal RNA is filed under the name uncultured bacterium. RNAcentral's name for it is "partial 16S ribosomal RNA". It matches the Rfam family "Bacterial small subunit ribosomal RNA", at positions 505 to 807 of the family's 1533-position model. The record is from RNAcentral.